UACAGAGGUCUCAAGCGUUGUUCGGAUUCAUUGGGCGUAAAGGGCGCGUAGGCGGCGGGGUCAGUCGGGUGUGAAAUCUUGGGGCUUAACCCCGAAACGGCACUCGAAACUGCCCGGCUGGAGGGCCGGAGAGGAGAUCGGAAUUCACGGUGUAGCAGUGAAAUGCGUAGAUAUCGAGAGGAACACCAGUGGCGAAGGCGAGUCUCUGGACGACACCUGACACUGAGGCACGAAAGCUAGGGGAGCAAACAGG
Molecule: ribosomal RNA, 253 nt
Filed under: uncultured bacterium
Lineage: Bacteria
Description: partial 16S ribosomal RNA
Rfam family: Bacterial small subunit ribosomal RNA
Source: RNAcentral